This 330-nucleotide ribosomal RNA is filed under the name uncultured Pseudomonadota bacterium. RNAcentral's name for it is "bacterial SSU rRNA". It matches the Rfam family "Bacterial small subunit ribosomal RNA", at positions 568 to 898 of the family's 1533-position model. The record is from RNAcentral. Lineage: Bacteria; Pseudomonadati; Pseudomonadota.
CGCGUAGGCGGAUAGUUAAGUUGGGGGUGAAAGCCCGGGGCUCAACCUCGGAACUGCCUUCAAUACUGGCUAUCUUGAGUACGGGAGAGGUGUGUGGAACUCCGAGUGUAGAGGUGAAAUUCGUAGAUAUUCGGAAGAACACCAGUGGCGAAGGCGACACACUGGCCCGUUACUGACGCUGAGGCGCGAAAGCGUGGGGAGCAAACAGGAUUAGAUACCCUGGUAGUCCACGCCGUAAACGAUGAGUGCUAGUUGUCGGGCGGCAUGCCGUUCGGUGACGCAGCUAACGCAUUAAGCACUCCGCCUGGGGAGUACGGUCGCAAGAUUAAA